GGAGAGGUAGCGAAGCUGGCCGUAACGCGCUCGACUCGAAAUCGAGUUACCGGUUAAUCCCCGGUACGUGGGUUCGAAUCCCACCCUCUCCGCCA
Molecule: transfer RNA, 95 nt
Filed under: Desulfovibrio desulfuricans
Lineage: Bacteria; Pseudomonadati; Thermodesulfobacteriota; Desulfovibrionia; Desulfovibrionales; Desulfovibrionaceae
Also listed under: 1 other name
Description: tRNA_Ser_CGA
Rfam family: tRNA
About the family: Transfer RNA (tRNA) molecules are approximately 80 nucleotides in length. Their secondary structure includes four short double-helical elements and three loops (D, anti-codon, and T loops).
Source: RNAcentral